This is a long non-coding RNA of Helianthus annuus (common sunflower), 1236 nucleotides long. RefSeq lists it as uncharacterized. NCBI's taxonomy places the organism in Eukaryota, Viridiplantae, Streptophyta, Magnoliopsida, Asterales, Asteraceae. The transcript is spliced from 7 exons. The record is from RefSeq and is a predicted model, not a curated record.
UAGGCGGGAUUUCAAUUCUCUUGCUCCUCCUUCUCUUUGAAACCGCGGCUUUAUAUCUUAGGAAAUCAUAAAUUUCUCUCAAUUUCUCUUCUCAAUCAAAUCCCUAUUUCCUAAAUUACGAAAUCCUUUUCUUUCACAUUUUGUUUUCAAAUCAAAAACCCUAGAUAAUGCACGAUCUCCUUUAACAAUUGAGUUUCAAGAUUCAUGGAUAUCUGCAUCUUCGAUCGCUAUUAGAAGCAACCAUCCCUUUAAUAGUCUUUGCUUUUCUAUCUCAAAAACCCUAGAUAUCGUCAUCUUCUAUCGCGAUUGGAAGCAACCAGAUUAGGUAAUUGGUCCUAGAAAUGUUUUGGUGGCAAUUUGAGAUCGGGAGUUAAUAUGUACUGACUGAUAUAAAAGUAUGAUGAUGAAACUUAAAGUGGUGAAGUUUGACCCUUUCUUUUCACACCUUAAUCAGCAAACAAGAAAAGUUCUGCAACAAAAGGGAAAUCACAACCAAUGAAAUGGGCAAUGAGGUUACAAGUGGUGUUACAUUUAGUCGAAGCUCUUGAAUUUUGAACAAAUAAAGGGGGUGCUUUUUAUCACGAUCUCAAUGCCUAUAGAAUUUUGUUUGAUGAGGAAGGUAAUCCUUGACUUUCGUGCUUUGGCUUGAUGAAGAAUAACCUGGAUGGAAAAAGUUAUAGCACGAAUCUUGCUUUCACUCCUCCCAUGUAUCUGUAUCUGAGGACAGAAAUUUGUUUCCAUCCUAUAGGAAGAGUAACGUCUGAAAGCAUGAUAUAUAGCCUUGGGAGUCUUUUGAUUGACCUUCUUAGCGGGAAGCACAUUCCGCGAAGCCAUCUAAGAAUACGCCUCCACUCUCCCCAUCACCGAUGAUAGUAAAAAUAAGGAUAAUUUAGUGGAAUCAUCCUUGAAACAAAUAUCAUCAGUUCCAACACUUAAUAUGGCUUCAUUUCCUGUUACCAUGAAUAAUCGAACUCCGUUUGACGGUAUAACUUUUGAAGGAUUAAGUGGUUCAGUAUGGCACUUACUUGAAUAAAACAACCAAGUUCUCGGUUAGAUUAAAUGUUUUAUAGCUAGAUUUAUGAAAAUGUUCGAAAGCUUUUCUCCCUGUGAUCGGCUAUGUAUGACACUCUGCUGCUACUUAUGAUGCAAACACUAAAAGUGGAGGUCCUUUCAGUACCAUGAGGUACAAGGCUGAGCUAAGCCAUGGUGCCAACAACGGUCAUAUUUGUGCAUUUA